AACGAGCGCGAGACGGCGGCGAAGAAGCCUUAAAGCAGGCUUGCAGCAGCGUUGCUCUUUGGUGAUCGUAGGGAUGUUUGCAUCCCAGAUGCAGUCUACCCUAUACGGUAUUCCUAGGACUUCCUGCGGUUCCUGUUCCAAGUACUAACUAAAUCUAAACAAGAGUUGAGUACAAGGGAGUCAAAAAAAGUCAAGAUGACAUCCAUGCUGUCUGAAGAAACCUAAUUGAAGAAUAGGAAACUCAGGAGGCUACAGUCCUCUGGGUACAGUCCUCUGACUCAUUCAAAGACAAGACAUUCACAUCUAUUCCCCAGCCUCCUCGUGAAUCAAAAGAAGCAGAAACUCCAGACUCCACCUAUAAGAAUUUUCCUAUGAAAGAAAUGUCAAAAGCUAAGCUUUUUUCUUCAUAUUGAAUGAGAAAAAUACCAGACGGGGUUUUUUGCACACUACCAGAAGCCUCCCUGGUUGAGAUUUCUGUUCCUACAGAUACCUCUAAAUAGCUCACAACCAAGAUUCUUGUGCUUAUAUUCUCUAGUUACUGGUAUCUUCUAUGCAACUAACUAAUAGCCACUGACAGCUUAUUCCUCUAUGUCAAGAAGGAGAAAGGGUGGCCUUCCAGAUAUUGUUAUGACCACACUGUCCUACCUGUCAAUGACUACUUCAGUUUCAACCACAACAAUACACGAGCAAAUAAUAGAUACAAACUCAAGGUAAACUGCUCCAAAUUUGAUUGCAGAAAAUAUGAGUUCAGCAACAGAGUGGUCAGUGCCUGGAAUGCACUACCUUACUCUGUAGUUUCUUCCCCAAACCCCCAAAACUUUAAGCUUAAACUGUCUAUUGUUGACCUCACCUCAUUUCUAAGAGGUCUGUAAGGGGUGUGCAUAAGUGCAUCUGCAUGCCUACUGUCCCUGUCCUAAUAUUACUUUUUGAUUUACUCUUUUCAUGUAUCCCAAUUAUGUUUAUACUUUUACCUGUUAUCUUAUAUA
Ahaetulla prasina is the source of this 986-nucleotide long non-coding RNA. RefSeq lists it as uncharacterized. Lineage: Eukaryota; Metazoa; Chordata; Lepidosauria; Squamata; Colubridae. The record is from RefSeq and is a predicted model, not a curated record. The transcript is spliced from 3 exons.